Molecule: microRNA, 22 nt
Filed under: Gallus gallus (chicken)
Lineage: Eukaryota; Metazoa; Chordata; Aves; Galliformes; Phasianidae
Also listed under: 1 other name
Description: Gga-Mir-2984_5p (mature (guide))
Source: RNAcentral
AGCCUGCUGAGAGUGAAAUUGA